AUUGAACGCUGGCGGCAUGAUUUACACAUGCAAGUCGAACGGUAACAGGCCGCAAGGUGCUGACGAGUGGCGAACGGGUGAGUAAUGCAUCGGAACGUGCCCAGUCGUGGGGGAUAACUACUCGAAAGAGUAGCUAAUACCGCAUACGAUCUAUGGAUGAAAGCGGGGGACCGUCAGGCCUCGCGCGAUUGGAGCGGCCGAUGUCAGAUUAGGUAGUUGGUGGGGUAAAGGCUCACCAAGCCAACGAUCUGUAGCUGGUCUGAGAGGACGACCAGCCACACUGGGACUGAGACACGGCCCAGACUCCUACGGGAGGCAGCAGUGGGGAAUUUUGGACAAAGGGCGCAAGCCUGAUCCAGCAAUGCCGCGUGCAGGAAGAAGGCCUUCGGGUUGUAAACUGCUUUUGUACGGAACGAAACGGCUCUGGUUAAUACCCGGGGCUAAUGACGGUACCGUAAGAAUAAGCACCGGCUAACUACGUG
This 482-nucleotide ribosomal RNA is filed under the name uncultured bacterium. Its description in RNAcentral is "partial 16S ribosomal RNA". It matches the Rfam family "Bacterial small subunit ribosomal RNA", at positions 30 to 507 of the family's 1533-position model. The record is from RNAcentral.